UGCUUGCUUGAACUACAAGGGAUAGAAAGAGUAGCAUUGAAGAGACUUUUAGAACCCCGCAAUUUCUACAAGCAAGAAGCAGGCUGAGAAUACUAUUCAGCUGAAAACACAGGCUUCAGGGAAAAGAAAGAAUACUUCAGACGAAAACCGAGCACUUGGAAAGAGAGCAGAGCCACAAGCUAUGGCUGGAGAUGACUCCCAGCCGUGACUAUGCAUCAAGGAACUGUCACACGUGCCUUGCUGGAUUUCAACAUUGCCAUGGACCAGUGCCUCCUGUGUGCCCUGUGUUCUACCAUUUUUACAAAGGGGUAUUGGCACUGGGUACCUGAGUUUGUCUCACCAUUAUAUACGGGUGUGGGGCACAGUUGACUUGCCUCUUCAGCUGGCAGGUCCGCAGAUGGAGAAGACCAGGACCCAAGCGAGCACAUCCUAAGAGCUUCGUCUGCCGCAGAGCUUGACGUAGAUGCCAACAGCCUCUAACGCUUUUUCCAGAGUACUGUAAUGUAAAUCAAUCUCCCCAGAUAGAAGCACAGAAAAAAGAGGAGAUCAGAGAAGUACAGCAUGUUGUUUCCAACAAGGUGGAAAAUUCAUCUGAAAUGACAGAAAUCCUGUGCAAUGGCAAAUCUCUGAGGAUUCAUGUGUCUCACCAAACUAGCUGACCGAGGAGCUGCCCCUGCGGCCAUGCGGGAGUCCGUGGGUUUGGUUACCCGGUGCCCGGUUUGCUCGGAUACCUGAGACGUUAGCGGUCAUCGCUGGUGUGGCUUUUCAGACAAAGCGAGCAUCCUAGGUAAUAACCCUCCAUGGCUUUGUGUAGAAAUCCACCCUCUGGGUAAAGAUACCUGGUCCCUGUUAUAAAAACGAGGCAUCCAA
Molecule: long non-coding RNA, 870 nt
Organism: Hyaena hyaena (striped hyena)
Lineage: Eukaryota; Metazoa; Chordata; Mammalia; Carnivora; Hyaenidae
Exons: 3
Source: RefSeq, a predicted model, not a curated record